CAGCCGCCACGGGAAUACGAAGGGUGCAAGCGUUAAUCGGAAUUACUGGGCGUAAAGCGUGCGUAGGCGGUUUGUUAAGUCUGUUGUGAAAUCCCCGGGCUCAACCUGGGAAUGGCAAUGGAUACUGGCAAGCUAGAGUGUGUCAGAGGAUGGUGGAAUUCCCGGUGUAGCGGUGAAAUGCGUAGAGAUCGGGAGGAACAUCAGUGGCGAAGGCGGCCAUCUGGGACAACACUGACGCUGAGGCACGAAAGCGUGGGGAGCAAACAGGAUUAGAUACCCCCGUAGUCCCUGUCUCUUAUAC
RNAcentral lists this ribosomal RNA (301 nucleotides) under uncultured bacterium. RNAcentral describes it as "partial 16S ribosomal RNA". It matches the Rfam family "Bacterial small subunit ribosomal RNA", at positions 509 to 807 of the family's 1533-position model. The record is from RNAcentral.